RNAcentral lists this ribosomal RNA (502 nucleotides) under uncultured bacterium. RNAcentral describes it as "partial 16S ribosomal RNA". It matches the Rfam family "Bacterial small subunit ribosomal RNA", at positions 29 to 523 of the family's 1533-position model. The record is from RNAcentral.
AUUGAACGCUGGCGGAACGCUUUACACAUGCAAGUCGAACGGCAGCACGGGUGCUUGCACCUGGUGGCGGGUGGCGAACGGGUGAGUAAUACAUCGGAACGUACCCUGACGUGGGGGAUAACACAGCGAAAGUUGUGCUAAUACCGCAUACGUCCUGAGGGAGAAAGCGGGGGAUCGCAAGACCUCGCGCGUUAGGAGCGGCCGAUGGCGGAUUAGCUCGUUGGUGGGGUAAAGGCUCACCAAGGCGACGAUCCGUAGCUGGUCUGAGAGGACGACCAGCCACACUGGAACUGAGACACGGUCCAGACUCCUACGGGAGGCAGCAGUGGGGAAUUUUGGACAAGGGGCGAAAGCCUGAUCCAGCCAUUCCGCGUGAGUGAAGAAGGCCUUCGGGUUGUAAAGCUCUUUCGGCAGGAACGAAACGGUGUGGGUCAAUACCCUGCAUCAAUGACGGUACCUGAAGAAGAAGCACCGGCUAACUACGUGCCAGCAGCCGCGGUAA